CAUAUAGUUGCAUUAUAGGGAACUAACAUCUAACCCUAUGUUGUUGGAUUUUAGUUAUUGGUUUAUUGAUAUCUGAUUUGAUGUUAUAUUGUUGAGAUUAUUAUUAUCUAGGCUAAUCUAUGUUAAGUUGUUGAUAUAUGAGUUUAGUUAUAUUGCUGGUUUUGUUGAUAUCUGGAUUAACUUAAGUUGCUAGUUUAUUUACCAUGCUAGGUAAUUAAAUUUGAAUAGCAUAAUUUUCUCCUUUAUAUGUGGUAGUUGCAUGGAGUUAACCCUUUCUAUUUGCUACUUGUUAUUUGGGCGCUUAACGCUAUUAGGCGAUGAAGAGCCUUCUGGCGAUGCUUAGCCAUGCUGAGAUGGAGAAGGGAUAGUAACNNNN
This 376-nucleotide long non-coding RNA is filed under the name Lotus japonicus. RNAcentral describes it as "long non-coding RNA (LJAP_LNC000520)". Lineage: Eukaryota; Viridiplantae; Streptophyta; Magnoliopsida; Fabales; Fabaceae. The record is from RNAcentral.